Molecule: long non-coding RNA, 4497 nt
Organism: Capra hircus (goat)
Lineage: Eukaryota; Metazoa; Chordata; Mammalia; Artiodactyla; Bovidae
Exons: 3
Source: RefSeq, a predicted model, not a curated record
GAUCCCGGGCAGCCGCGCGCUUGGGCCCGGGGCGGAGUGCUCGCGGGUGUGUCCAUCCGUCCAUCCGCCGCCCCCGCCCGCCCCCUGCGGUGGCUCCCUGCUUGCCCAGCUCGGCGGCCGCGCCCGGCAGAUGCGCGGUGCUUGGUCCCGGCCUCCUGCGCCCCGGGCCUCCCGGCCCCGCCGGCCCCGGGCUGGCGGACGGGACCGAGGCGAGCUCCCCGGCCGCGCUCAACACCUGAGGAAACUGGCGGAAAAGUUUGAGAACGAAAAGUCCAAUCGUCUUUCAGCUUCCGCCCUCCCUAUGACACUUCAGCCACGGACUGCUCCAGUACUCAAGUCUGAGAUGCUGACUCUGAUGCAUAUCAUUAAAGAAUCAAAGUUUAGUGAAGAGCUUCCACCCACUCCAGACUCCUUUCCACAACCUCUUCCUGGAGUGGGCAUCUCCUACCUUUAUAGGACAAUGUACCACAUUGAAAAAUUUUGCCUUUUCCCCAGCAAGCCACUCCACAGGCUGUCAGACCUGCCUGUUCCUGACAAGGGCUGUUCUUGUCAUGGGCGGACCUCAGUUUCAGGGGGACGGCGAUGAGGCUGGAGCUCAGAGGGAUGGAGAAGCCUCUGAAGCUGCAACAGCAGGAGCAGAAGGCACAGCCGCAGGGCCCUCCGGAAAGAACAGAGAAGAGAAGUGGAAGCUGCACACCUGAGCCAGGAUGUUCUCUGUGAUGUCAGGUGUGUGUCUCGGGUUGACUCAACUACAUGGAGCUCUUGGAGGGCAGGGCAGUGCAGUCUUCAUCUCCAUCCUCAGCCCACUGUUCUCAGCAGGACUGGAUGUGCCAUUUGGACUCACUAGCGGGGCUGACAGUCAAACCAGUAAGAAAACACCCUCUCCAUAUGUAAUUGUUUAAAGAAGACGUGCAGGUAGUUCCUGUUCAACUCUGAUUAACCAAGCCUGGUGGAUUUGCACAGAACGGGACAGUGAUUAUAGGCUACAGUCCACGGGGUAGCAGAGUCAGACACAACUGAGUGACUUCACUUUCUUCUUUUCUUUGCCUCUCCUCUCCCCACAGGGUCCUGAAAGGGCACACAGGUAGGUCUCAGUCCCCUGAAGGGGGUGUGUAGGGGACAGUCCCAGUGCAUUCAGAAGAGUGUUGCAUUCAGAGCUGCAGCAUCCAUGCACGAAUCAGCCUGGCAGUGAGUGAUGGCCCUGCCAGUCUGUGAGCCAGGGGAGGACUUCCGGAGGCAGCAGCGCCCUCCCAGGAAUCAGAUAGGCAGUACUGAGAGCUUGCGUAAGGCGCUCUGGGGGCGGGGCCAGUGUGGCGCAUGCUCACAGCAGCAUGUCCGGGCCACAAGGACUCUCACUGAGAGCAGGUGCUGGGAGCCCAGGGCCCGCUGAUAGAUUCCGGUCAUUAGAGGUAUCAUGCUUCCUGCCCCUUUUACAGGCCAGCGUGCUCCCCAAUGGAACAUCUUCCAGCUGACUUCCUGGGCUGCCGAGACACACAGAAAACCAGACUCCAGGAGGAAGCUGCCUGACCCACCCCGCCUGUUUUUCUCUGGACCCCCCGGGCUGGCUCUUAAUGCUUGCGAUGCCUGACCCCUGUGAGGUCUGCUGGCGCUAGAGUUUAUUAGCGUCCGUUCCCCUGGGAGUGAGCACCCUCCCGAAGGAGAGGAGGCUGUGGUUUUACUUCCGUGUGAUCAAGGCAGACUGUGGGAAACAAGAAAGUGCGGAGAUUAAGGACUGACUGCUUUAACGAAGAGAGGGAAUCUUUCAUAGUUUCUGUGCCACCCAAAUCCCUUGCAGUGAGUAGGUUUGUAUUCAGCGAAAAUACUUUAUUUAUCGCAAGGGAAAUUGGAUCAGGGGAACAUUAAAGGUGGGGGAGCGACAUGCUGAAAGCAGAGCUCACAGCAAGGCAUGGCUUUGAGCCAGCGGUGCUCAGAAACCAAGGAGGAAAGCGACUCGUUAGAAGGUGGCUCUCCGCGGGGCUCCUGGGUGUGCAUCUCCCCUCCUGCUCCCACAGGACUGCCUAGAGGGAAGCAGAGCUCCAACUGGGUAACGGUCCUAGGGAACCAGCCAGGUUUAUUGGCCUCACCUGUUAUGUGUCUGCCUGGGAAGAGGUUGCUCCCCUGGGCAGUGUCACUUCAGUUUGGCCUUGGUGGUGGGAGGUUCUGCCCACCAAGUAAAGGGGCACUAGCCAAGAGGACUGGAACCCCAGCCAGUUUCUCUCUUGCUAGCCUGGGGUCUUGUUUAAAGCCCAGCAGCUUAUCUUAUGUCAAGGGGAACUUAAUUAAGAUGGAGCAUGCAGGAGAGGCCCUCCUUCCAGUGGGCCUGGAAUCAUGGGAGAUUGUCCUUGAGGACUCCCAGAAGACCAGGAGCUCAUGCUAAUUUAGGUGGGGAAGACUAGGUGGUAAAGACCUGGAGGAAGGAGUCCCUGGAGUCUUACCAAGGACCUCUUUCCAUCCCUGAGUCAGGAAGAUUCUUUGGAGAAGGAAAUGGCAACCCACUCCAGUACUCUUGCUUGGAAAAUCUCCUGGAUGGAGGAGCGUGGUUGGCUACAGUCUAUGGGAUCUCUAAGAGCUGGACACGACUGAGUGAGUUCACCUCAUUUCUCAAGGGAAGAGAGGGCAGGAGUGAUGGCAAGGCUUGGAGGGAAUCUGCCAUUUUCUUUCCUCGUCCAUCGUCAAGUGGAGAACACUCCAGGGAGCUAGCAUGAAGUAGGCUUCGAUGCUGGAAAGAGGGACCCUGGGUCUCUGAGUUGCUGCUUAAGGAGAGGCCCCUGGAGAGCAAUGCUACAUGAGGGCUCAUGGGAGACAAAUUUUUACUGCAUGAAGCCACUGUGUUUGGGGUUGUUUGGGAGAACAGUUAGCAUGUCAUGCCUGAUAACAAUGCCUAACUCUGCUCUGAUUUUGUGAGCAUUAGCCCAGCCCAAGGUCGGGACUCAUUCAGCCCACAGACACUUUCUGAGCACCAGCUGUGGGCUAAACAGGCAGUGGUGGUGGCCUGAUGAGCCUAAGCGGACAGAAACAGAACUUCAGAGUAAAAGCACAGGGCUGAAACCCAUCAAGCUGGCUUAGCACACACCCAGCCGAGGUCCCAGGGAAAAGACAUUAACCUUGCUGUAUUCAGCUCCAGGUCUGUACUUGUCAGCUGGGGACUAUGGGUAGAGGCGGGUGGUGUGUUUAGCUUGGCCAUCAGACUUCAGACUUUAUACAGUGCCCUUGGAAGAUGUCAUAUCCCACACCCAGCGGGUCACCCUGCCACCUGGGGCCUGGAUCACCCUGAAAGUCGCUGGAGAGAAAUGAGUGUGGCUUCCCCAUGUUUUGAAUGAUAAAUACAGUUCUUUCACCUCCUGGAUUUUGCACUGGCAAAGAGAAACGUGGAUAAGGAGAGGAAUGACAUUCUACCCUUGGUGUGCUUGGUGGGAAGUGGUGAGAACAGGCAAGGGGAGUGCUCACUGCAGUCGAUCAGAUGCCCCUCUGGAGGCAGCGUGGGCAGCAAGCCUGCAGGGAGCUGGUUCUGAGCUGUCCACCAGCUUCUCCCAGGGCCACCCGGCCAUUGCAGCACAUGCAUCUUUAAUUUUUUCAAUUAACAACAAUAUAGAGCAAAUGGAGUGGAGUUUUAAUUAUUCAUAAUUCAUUUAGGAAUAAAAUCUCUGUAAACUAAAGGAAAGGAAGGGUCAUAUUACCUGUUCUUAAAAAAAAAAAAAAGGCAGUGAAAGAGGAUGGAAAAUCUACAUAUAUUGACCUGAUUUUUUUUUUUUUAAAGCUUUCCCUUUGGUCUUCACAGUUAGAAACAAGAGAGAGAAAUGGGAGAAAAGCACCUGCUGGCAGGUUGGAGGGCUGCCUUUUCCCCCCGCCCUGACCUGGUCACUGGUACACGGUGUGACCUACAGCUUACUGCUGUCCCUUCGUGUGUCCACAUGAUCUGGCCCUAACAAAGGACUGAGAUGACUAGGGCCGCUGUUACAGAGUCAGUUUAGAUCCUGUGUAUUGACAAGUAUUGGCGAAGUAUCUGCAGGGUGUGCACACACAAUGGGUUCCAAUGGAACACUGAUAGGACCCCUGCCCACCAAGAACUUACAGGAAGGCUCCAUAAACAUGCGCCUCUAUACAAGUACAUGCUUUUUAGUCGCUAAGUUGUGUCUGACUCUUUUGUGACCCCAUCGACUGUAGUCUGCCAGGCUCCUCUGUCCAUAGAACUUUCCAGGCGCGUGUACUGGAGUGGUGUGUCAUUUCCUUCUCCAGGGGAUCUUCCUGACCCAGGGAUCUAACCCACGUCUCCUGCAUUGCAGGUGGAUUCUUUACCACUUAGCCACCAGGGAAGCCCUCACAAACAUAUACAUCUGUACAUAUGAGUGCCUGCAUAUGCACCCACUCCCCGCAAAAUCAUUAAAUCCUAGGUGGGAAGGGAAACUAGGACAUCUUUGGGGUCUAAAUUUUUUAGUCUAAGGGGCUGAGUUCAGAGAAUAGUGGCCAGAACACAUACAUCAGUCAGAAAAGGCUGCU